This is a non-coding RNA of Phascolarctos cinereus (koala), 466 nucleotides long. The record is from the annotation of a RefSeq genome assembly. NCBI's taxonomy places the organism in Eukaryota, Metazoa, Chordata, Mammalia, Diprotodontia, Phascolarctidae.
ACGCACCAUGAAAUUUAGGCUGAACUGGGUUUUCCUUCUGACCAUUUUCCAAGGUGUCCAGUGUGAUGUGGAGCUGGUGGAGUCUGGGGGAGAUGUGAUACAGCCUGGGGGAUCUCUGAGUCUCUCCUGCAAAGGUUCUGGAUUUACUUUCAGCAACUACAGGAUGCACUGGGUCCGCCAGGCUUCAGGAAAGGGACUGGAAUGGGUUGCAUACAUUAGUAGUAGUGGUGGUACUACACGCUAUGCAGACUCUGUGAAAGAUCGAUUCACCAUCUCCAGAGAUAAUGGCAACAGCAUCUUAUAUCUACAAAUGACUUCCCUUGAGACUGAGAACACAGCUGUGUAUUACUGUGCAAGAGAGUCUAUGAUUUCUCUACAGCCAGAUUUUUUGGGUUGGCCCCCGGGGAAUGACUGUCUGCAGUUUCCCAGCCAUAAUGUCAAUAACUGGGUCAUUCCACCGGAGUAG